This is a long non-coding RNA of Felis catus (domestic cat), 735 nucleotides long. RefSeq lists it as uncharacterized. Lineage: Eukaryota; Metazoa; Chordata; Mammalia; Carnivora; Felidae. The record is from RefSeq and is a predicted model, not a curated record. The transcript has 3 exons.
CGUAACAAUCCUAGAUGUGGUUGCAGAGUUUCAGUGUACAUAAAUCGAAAACAAUAGAAAAGAGAAAUACACAAAUCCAUAUUAUGACUAGACAUUCAAUAUCCUUUCCCCAAAUAGUGAUAGAAUGGUAAACAAGUAGCCACAAAAACUGGUAAGAAUCUCGAGUUAAACAAUGCUAGCAACCAAACUGAUCUAAUUUGACAUUUCCAUUACUGAGGAAAUACACUGUGAUAGUUAGUAGAAAUAAAUGCGCUAAGUAAGCCACUGAAUUCAGAGACCACACACUCCUCAGAGAAGAGAUACAAUGAGGAAGAGGUGGUUAGUUUGAGAAGCAUUUCCAUUCCCGGAACCACACACACAAAGAACAGAGCUGGCUGUCAAGUGAACAGUGGAUUAACAGUCACUCUGGUUACAGGAUCUCUGCUCACGUUAACCAUUUUAUAAUGAACACACCCAUAGACGCCCUACCCAUGGGUGGAGACAGAGAGAGAAUGAGAGAGAGAAAAUCAACACAGGAUGCCAUCUAAGCCAUCAAUAAAGUGCGCCCUGUGCCGGGUAGGGCUUCCUGCAGUCCACGCUGCCUAACGCCACACGUGUGCCACGCUGUCCCCACUGCCUGGGACGCUCUCCUCCUUCCACCCUUGGCUCAUCCUGCGGCUGAUCAGCCCUUCCCCUCAUCGGGAGGACGGCCUGCCUGCUCUGUGUGCGGGGGGACCAGAACCGGCUGCUCUCACC